RNAcentral lists this unclassified non-coding RNA (253 nucleotides) under uncultured Parcubacteria group bacterium. Its description in RNAcentral is "contains 16S-23S intergenic spacer region". It matches the Rfam family "Bacterial small subunit ribosomal RNA", at positions 524 to 776 of the family's 1533-position model. The record is from RNAcentral.
UACGAGUGCCCCAAGCGUUAUCCGGAAUCAUUGGGCGUAAAGGGUGUGUAGGUGGUUCUAUUAGUCUUCUGUCAAAUUUCCCGGCUUAACCGGGAAUCUGCAGAGGAAACGGUAGGACUAGAGGGUGCGAGGGGUGAAUGGAACUUAUGGAGUAGGGGUGAAAUCCGUUGAUAUCAUGGGGAACACCAAAAGCGAAGGCAAUUCACUGGCGCAUUCCUGACACUGAGACACGAAAGCGUGGGUAGCGAACGGG